RNAcentral lists this ribosomal RNA (253 nucleotides) under uncultured bacterium. RNAcentral describes it as "partial 16S ribosomal RNA". It matches the Rfam family "Bacterial small subunit ribosomal RNA", at positions 524 to 776 of the family's 1533-position model. The record is from RNAcentral.
UACGGAGGGGGCGAGCGUUAUUCGGAAUUAUUGGGCGUAAAGGGCGCGUAGGCGGCUUGGUAAGUCAAAGGUGAAAUCCCUCGGCUCAACUGAGGAAUUGCCUUUGAAACUGCCUGGCUUGAGGCCGGGAGGGGGUAGCGGAAUUCCCAGUGUAGCGGUGAAAUGCGUAGAUACUGGGAGGAACACCAGUGGCGAAGGCGGCUACCUGGACCGGUUCUGACGCUGAUGCGCGAAAGCGUGGGGAGCGAUCCGG